UUCAUCAUGGCCUAUCACUCCGCAGGCAUAACAGAAGAUUGGGAGCCUUUCAUACCUAAACUUGACCCACGUUGAGUCAUCUCUCUUGCUUCCCAUCGUGAUUCCUCUUCUAAGCGGUUCCGUUAUCUCCAUAUCUACUGUUGCUUUCAGGAAGCUUUCUUUCCCUGGCCCAGCUGAGAAAAGACUACAUUCCUUAAAUUUUCCAUCUUUAGCUGCUAUUUUCUUCCUCAAAACUAUCGUUUUGCAAUGCUCUGGCAUGUUCCAAAGUUGUAGCUUGACUUCUGCUCUUGUGAAUUUCUAAAAAUCCAUGGGUUUCCUUUCAGCAUCUUCUUCAUGUCUGCCUCUUUAUGGAAGAAAAAUUGGAUAUGAAAACUUGGCGAUAGUGAGGCACUAUUUGUUGUAGGAAAACGGACAGCUCACUACUCCGUUUUAGUGUUCGGGAACCCUAGCAGACUAACAAGGAGAGAGGAUUUAGGUGUAUGAUGUACAUCAAUCUUCCGAAUGUCAUGUAACUUAAAUGGAGGUUAGUAUAUCUUUUUGUAAAAUGAAGGUAUAUCGUGUAUUAAAAUACCGUUUAAUCCUAGGAGGUCAGUAUAAUUUACUUAAGAAAAUAUUCAAUUCAAUGUAAAUUUUAAAUUCAAACUACUUCAAGGGUAAAACUUCUUUAGAAAAAUAAAAUAAAAUGUAAAUCACCACGAACAAGGUGAGGGGCUUAAAUCUUAAAAUGAAUUAAUAUCAGUAAUAAGUACAAGGCAAAAUUCUAUUAUGACUGUUGAUUAACGUAACAAAUAACUAGAACAUAAUUAUGCUUCUACACUUCUACAGAUUCUGACACUAUCAGACUAAUCAAAGUUACAUGGACGAUGCACCCUAAGUCAAGAAUAACACAAAUGGUAGAU
This is a non-coding RNA of Arachis ipaensis, 899 nucleotides long. Lineage: Eukaryota; Viridiplantae; Streptophyta; Magnoliopsida; Fabales; Fabaceae. The record is from RefSeq and is a predicted model, not a curated record.